RNAcentral lists this ribosomal RNA (2904 nucleotides) under Enterobacter roggenkampii. RNAcentral describes it as "23S ribosomal RNA". It matches the Rfam family "Bacterial large subunit ribosomal RNA". The record is from RNAcentral. Lineage: Bacteria; Pseudomonadati; Pseudomonadota; Gammaproteobacteria; Enterobacterales; Enterobacteriaceae.
GGUUAAGCGACUAAGCGUACACGGUGGAUGCCCUGGCAGUCAGAGGCGAUGAAGGACGUGCUAAUCUGCGAAAAGCGCCGGCGAGGUGAUAUGAACCUUUGACCCGGCGAUGUCCGAAUGGGGAAACCCAGUGUGUUCCGACACACUAUCGUUAACUGAAUACAUAGGUUAACGAGGCGAACCGGGGGAACUGAAACAUCUAAGUACCCCGAGGAAAAGAAAUCAACCGAGAUUCCCCCAGUAGCGGCGAGCGAACGGGGAGCAGCCCAGAGUCUGAAUCAGCUUGUGUGUUAGUGGAAGCGUCUGGAAAGUCGCACGGUACAGGGUGACAGUCCCGUACACGAAAGCACACAGGUUGUGAACUCGAAGAGUAGGGCGGGACACGUGGUAUCCUGUCUGAAUAUGGGGGGACCAUCCUCCAAGGCUAAAUACUCCUGACUGACCGAUAGUGAACCAGUACCGUGAGGGAAAGGCGAAAAGAACCCCGGCGAGGGGAGUGAAAAAGAACCUGAAACCGUGUACGUACAAGCAGUGGGAGCACCUUCGGGUGUGACUGCGUACCUUUUGUAUAAUGGGUCAGCGACUUAUAUUCUGUAGCAAGGUUAACCGUAUAGGGGAGCCGAAGGGAAACCGAGUCUUAACUGGGCGUUAAGUUGCAGGGUAUAGACCCGAAACCCGGUGAUCUAGCCAUGGGCAGGUUGAAGGUUGGGUAACACUAACUGGAGGACCGAACCGACUAAUGUUGAAAAAUUAGCGGAUGACUUGUGGCUGGGGGUGAAAGGCCAAUCAAACCGGGAGAUAGCUGGUUCUCCCCGAAAGCUAUUUAGGUAGCGCCUCGUGAACUCAUCUUCGGGGGUAGAGCACUGUUUCGGCUAGGGGGCCAUCCCGGCUUACCAACCCGAUGCAAACUACGAAUACCGAAGAAUGUUAUCACGGGAGACACACGGCGGGUGCUAACGUCCGUCGUGAAGAGGGAAACAACCCAGACCGCCAGCUAAGGUCCCAAAGUCAUGGUUAAGUGGGAAACGAUGUGGGAAGGCACAGACAGCCAGGAUGUUGGCUUAGAAGCAGCCAUCAUUUAAAGAAAGCGUAAUAGCUCACUGGUCGAGUCGGCCUGCGCGGAAGAUGUAACGGGGCUAAACCAUGCACCGAAGCUGCGGCAGCGACACUAUGUGUUGUUGGGUAGGGGAGCGUUCUGUAAGCCGUUGAAGGUGGCCUGUGAGGGUUGCUGGAGGUAUCAGAAGUGCGAAUGCUGACAUAAGUAACGAUAAAGCGGGUGAAAAGCCCGCUCGCCGGAAGACCAAGGGUUCCUGUCCAACGUUAAUCGGGGCAGGGUGAGUCGACCCCUAAGGCGAGGCCGAAAGGCGUAGUCGAUGGGAAACAGGUUAAUAUUCCUGUACUUGGUGUUACUGCGAAGGGGGGACGGAGAAGGCUAUGUUAGCCGGGCGACGGUUGUCCCGGUUUAAGCAUGUAGGCGGAACGAUUAGGUAAAUCCGGUCGUUUUUUAACGCUGAGGUGUGAUGACGAGGCACUACGGUGCUGAAGUAACAAAUGCCCUGCUUCCAGGAAAAGCCUCUAAGCAUCAGGUAACAUCAAAUCGUACCCCAAACCGACACAGGUGGUCAGGUAGAGAAUACCAAGGCGCUUGAGAGAACUCGGGUGAAGGAACUAGGCAAAAUGGUGCCGUAACUUCGGGAGAAGGCACGCUGAUAUGUAGGUGAAGCCCCUGCGGGUGGAGCUGAAAUCAGUCGAAGAUACCAGCUGGCUGCAACUGUUUAUUAAAAACACAGCACUGUGCAAACACGAAAGUGGACGUAUACGGUGUGACGCCUGCCCGGUGCCGGAAGGUUAAUUGAUGGGGUUAGCGGCAACGCGAAGCUCUUGAUCGAAGCCCCGGUAAACGGCGGCCGUAACUAUAACGGUCCUAAGGUAGCGAAAUUCCUUGUCGGGUAAGUUCCGACCUGCACGAAUGGCGUAAUGAUGGCCAGGCUGUCUCCACCCGAGACUCAGUGAAAUUGAACUCGCUGUGAAGAUGCAGUGUACCCGCGGCAAGACGGAAAGACCCCGUGAACCUUUACUAUAGCUUGACACUGAACACUGGUCCUUGAUGUGUAGGAUAGGUGGGAGGCUUUGAAGUGUGGACGCCAGUCUGCAUGGAGCCGUCCUUGAAAUACCACCCUUUAAUGGCUGGUGUUCUAACGUAGACCCGUGAUCCGGGUUGCGGACAGUGUCUGGUGGGUAGUUUGACUGGGGCGGUCUCCUCCCAAAGAGUAACGGAGGAGCACGAAGGUUAGCUAAUCCUGGUCGGACAUCAGGAGGUUAGUGCAAUGGCAUAAGCUAGCUUGACUGCGAGAGUGACGGCUCGAGCAGGUGCGAAAGCAGGUCAUAGUGAUCCGGUGGUUCUGAAUGGAAGGGCCAUCGCUCAACGGAUAAAAGGUACUCCGGGGAUAACAGGCUGAUACCGCCCAAGAGUUCAUAUCGACGGCGGUGUUUGGCACCUCGAUGUCGGCUCAUCACAUCCUGGGGCUGAAGUAGGUCCCAAGGGUAUGGCUGUUCGCCAUUUAAAGUGGUACGCGAGCUGGGUUUAGAACGUCGUGAGACAGUUCGGUCCCUAUCUGCCGUGGGCGCUGGAGAAUUGAGGGGGGCUGCUCCUAGUACGAGAGGACCGGAGUGGACGCAUCACUGGUGUUCGGGUUGUCAUGCCAAUGGCACUGCCCGGUAGCUAAAUGCGGAAAAGAUAAGUGCUGAAAGCAUCUAAGCACGAAACUUGCCCCGAGAUGAGUUCUCCCUGAGACUUUAAGUCUCCUGAAGGAACGUUGAAGACGACGACGUUGAUAGGUCGGGUGUGUAAGCGCAGCGAUGCGUUGAGCUAACCGAUACUAAUGAACCGUGAGGCUUAACCUU